This 26-nucleotide ribosomal RNA is filed under the name Rotylenchulus macrosoma. RNAcentral's name for it is "partial 18S ribosomal RNA". The record is from RNAcentral. Lineage: Eukaryota; Metazoa; Nematoda; Chromadorea; Rhabditida; Hoplolaimidae.
GGUGAACCUGCUGCUGGAUCAUUACA